This 148-nucleotide ribosomal RNA is filed under the name Vigna umbellata (rice bean). RNAcentral describes it as "partial large subunit ribosomal RNA". It matches the Rfam family "Eukaryotic large subunit ribosomal RNA", at positions 1 to 148 of the family's 3401-position model. Lineage: Eukaryota; Viridiplantae; Streptophyta; Magnoliopsida; Fabales; Fabaceae. The record is from RNAcentral.
AGACCUCAGGUCAGGCGGGGCUACCCGCUGAGUUUAAGCAUAUCAAUAAGCGGAGGAAAAGAAACUAACAAGGAUUCCCUUAGUAACGACGAGCGAACCGGGAACAACCCACCAUGAGAAUCGGUCGGCCCUGGCGUUCGAAUUGUAG